UACGUAGGUGGCAAGCGUUGUCCGGAAUUACUGGGUGUAAAGGGUGCGCAGGCGGGACUGCAAGUUGGAUGUGAAAUUUCGAGGCUUAACCUCGAAACUGCAUCCAAAACUGUAGUUCUUGAGUGAAGUAGAGGUAGGUGGAAUUCCGAGUGUAGCGGUGAAAUGCGUAGAUAUUCGGAGGAACACCAGUGGCGAAGGCGACCUACUGGGCUUUAACUGACGCUGAGGCACGAAAGCAUGGGGAGCAAACAGG
This 253-nucleotide ribosomal RNA is filed under the name uncultured bacterium. RNAcentral describes it as "partial 16S ribosomal RNA". It matches the Rfam family "Bacterial small subunit ribosomal RNA", at positions 524 to 776 of the family's 1533-position model. The record is from RNAcentral.